GCUCGGCCGGCUCUCCCUAGCGUCUGGGGGGUCCCCUGCGGGUCCUUGCGAAGCUCUCACGGUGGGAACCCAGCCUUUCGAGGUGGGCUGAAGCGGGCACCCGUAAGGAAAGGGGACAUUUAGCAGUGUUUAGGAAAAUGUUAACAAUGCGGAUUGGGGAAAAGCAUGCCCCAGACAAGUGGAGAAUUG
Molecule: long non-coding RNA, 189 nt
Organism: Empidonax traillii (willow flycatcher)
Lineage: Eukaryota; Metazoa; Chordata; Aves; Passeriformes; Tyrannidae
Exons: 2
Source: RefSeq, a predicted model, not a curated record